GGCCCUGUAGUGUAGUGGUUAUCACUGCGGAUUCUGAUUCUUGUAGUAAUUUCCGCCGACCCAGGUUCGAGUCCUGGCAGGGCCU
Panus rudis PR-1116 ss-1 is the source of this 85-nucleotide non-coding RNA. Lineage: Eukaryota; Fungi; Basidiomycota; Agaricomycetes; Polyporales; Panaceae. The record is from the annotation of a GenBank genome assembly.